UACGUAGGCAGCGAGCGUUGUUCGGAAUUACUGGGCGUAAAGAGUGUGUAGGCGGUGCUCUAAGUUCGGUGUGAAAUCCCCCGGCUCAACCGGGGAACGGGCGCCGAUACGACCGGCCUGGAGCGAGGUAGGGGGCGCCGGAACUCACGGUGGAGCGGUGAAAUGCGUUGAGAUCGUGAGGAACGCCCGUGGCGAAAGCGGGCGCCUGGACCUCCGCUGACGCUGAGACGCGAAAGCCAGGGGAGCGAACGGG
This 253-nucleotide ribosomal RNA is filed under the name uncultured bacterium. RNAcentral describes it as "partial 16S ribosomal RNA". It matches the Rfam family "Bacterial small subunit ribosomal RNA", at positions 524 to 776 of the family's 1533-position model. The record is from RNAcentral.